GACGAACGCUGGCGGCGUGCUUAACACAUGCAAGUCGAACGGUAAGGCCCUUCGGGGUACACGAGUGGCGAACGGGUGGGUAACACGUGGGUGAUCUGCCCUGCACUUCGGGAUAAGCCUGGGAAACUGGGUCUAAUACCGGAUAGGACCACUGCCUGCAUGGGUGGUGGUGGAAAGCUUUUGCGGUGUGGGAUGGGCCCGCGGCCUAUCAGCUUGUUGGUGGGGUGAUGGCCUACCAAGGCGACGACGGGUAGCCGGCCUGAGAGGGUGACCGGCCACACUGGGACUGAGAUACGGCCCAGACUCCUACGGGAGGCAGCAGUGGGGAAUAUUGCACAAUGGGCGCAAGCCUGAUGCAGCGACGCCGCGUGAGGGAUGACGGCCUUCGGGUUGUAAACCUCUUUCAGCACCGACGAAGCGCAAGUGACGGUAGGUGCAGAAGAAGGACCGGCCAACCACGUGCCAGCAGCCGCGGUAA
This 478-nucleotide ribosomal RNA is filed under the name uncultured bacterium. RNAcentral describes it as "partial 16S ribosomal RNA". It matches the Rfam family "Bacterial small subunit ribosomal RNA", at positions 28 to 523 of the family's 1533-position model. The record is from RNAcentral.